Molecule: long non-coding RNA, 5096 nt
Organism: Oncorhynchus keta (chum salmon)
Lineage: Eukaryota; Metazoa; Chordata; Actinopteri; Salmoniformes; Salmonidae
Exons: 7
Source: RefSeq, a predicted model, not a curated record
CCCCCGACCCAAGCCUGGACAUCCCCUGUACAAGAACUACAUGAAACAGGACGUCCUGGUUCUGUUGGAGAAGAUAGACUCCGCCCACGAUGACUGUCUCCUGGGGGAGGAGUCAGGUCGGGUUCAAGGGUCACACAUGACUGUUAUCAACCCUCUGUCUGACCAAUCACGGCCUCCCAACAACCAACAAAACCAAUCGGAUCCCGCCUCGAAUGACAAGAGCCAAUUGAAGCCUCCCUCUGAAUACAAGAGCCAAUCAGAACCUCCGUCCAUCCUCCCAUCUCAGACCAGUGUAGAGAAGACCCAGGUUACAGCACCUGUCAGCGGUCCGAGGUGUGUGGCGCGGUUCGACUACGAGGGUGAGGAGGAAGACGAGCUGACCUUCUCCGAGGGUAACGUCAUCGCUCUGACGGAGGUGAUUGAUCAGGAGUGGGGCGGGGUCAAAUCCACGGGCGAAUAGGAAUCUUCCCCUGGCCUUCACCGAGAUCCUGGAGGAACCACCCCCAUCGCCAGGGUUACAGACCAUUGUCGAGACAACUGAAUCAUCAGACGUUCCAGACCAGUGGGUUGUGGCUCUCCACGACUUCCCAGGUCAGACUGCAGAGGACAUGUGGUUCCAGCAGGGGGCGCUGAUCAGAGUAACGGAGCGUGUCGACGCAGACUGGACCAGAGGAACACUGGACGGACGGGAGGGACUGUUCCCCACUACCUUCACACGCACCUGUAACACAGCUCAGCCAAUGACGGGCCAGCCUGUGGCCAGGGGCGUGGCCAAGGUCCUGUUUGAUUUCAGUGGAGAGAGAGAAGAUGAGCUCUCACUGAAGGCAGGGGAGGUAGUAACAGAGGUGGUGACAGUAGAUGAGGAGUGGUAUCUGGCGGAUGCAGGAAGUAGACGAGGCCUGGUCCCCAAAAACUACCUGUCACUGCUUCCUGACAGCUGCAAAUAGGACUAUGUGAUAUAUAUAUAUAAACUACAUUGCCAUAAGUAUGUGGAAACCCUUUCAAAUUAGUGGAUUCAGCUAUUUCAGCUACACCCGUUGCUGACAGGUGUGUAAAAUCGAGCGCGACGCUUUGCAAUCUCCAUAGACAAACAUUGGCAGUAGAAUGGCCCGUACUGAAGAGCUCGGUGACUUUCAACGCGGGCACCGUCAUAGGAUGCCACCUGUUUGACAAGUCAGUUGGUCAAGUUUCGUCCGGUCACCUGUAAGUGUUGAUAUUGUGAAGCUCACCUCUUAUUGGACUCUGGAGCAGAGGAAAACGCGUUCUCCGGAGUGAUGAAUCGCGCUUCACCAUCUGGCAUUCUGACGGACGAAUCUGGGUUUGGUGGAUGGCAGGAAAACGCUACCUGCCCCAAUGCGUAGUGCCAACUGUAAAGUUUGGUGGAGGAGGAAUAAUGGUUUGGGCCCCUUAGUUCCAGUGAAGGGAAAUCUUAACGCUAUAGCAGACAGUGACAUUCUAGACGAUUCUGUGCUUCCAACUUUAUGGCAACAGUUUGGGGAAGGUCCUUUCCUGUUUCAGCAUGAAUAUGCCCCCGUGCUCAAAGCGAGUUCCAUACAAAAAUGGCUUGUUGAAAUCAGUGUGGAAGAACUUGACUGGCCUUCACAGUGCCCUGACUUCAACCCAUCAAACACCUUUGGUAUGAAUUGUAAGUCCCUGCAGCAAUGUUCCAACAUUCUAGUGGACAGUCUUCCCAGAAGAGUGGAGGCUGUUUUAACAGCAAAUUGGGGACCAACUCCAUUUUAAUGUCCAUGAUUUUUGAAUGAGAUGUUCGACGAGCAGGUGUCCACAUACUUUUGGUAAUGUAGUGUAUCUUUGAAUAUGUGCCUUCAGAAAAUAUUCAUACCCCUUUCACUUAUUCCAUAUUUUGUUUUACAGCCUGAAUUCAAAGUUGAUUAAAUAGUUUUUUUCUCACAGAUCUACACACAAUAACCCAUAAUGACAUCACAAUACCCCAUAAUGACAUCACAAUACCCCACAAUAACCCAUAAUGACAAAGUGAAAACAUGUUCUUAGAAAUGUUUGCAAAUUUAUUGAAAAAUGAAAUGCAGAAAUAUCUCAUUUACAAUAAGUAUUUACAUCCCUGAGUCAAUACUUUGUAGAAGCACCAUUGACAGUAAGUCUUUCUGGGUAAGAGCUUUCCACACGUGGAUUGUGUAACAUUUGCCCAUUUUUCUAAUUUUCAAAAUUCUUCAAGCUCUGUCAAAUUGGUUGUUGAUCAUAGACAAAUUUAUUUGAAAAUCUAUAUCAAGAACAGGAUUCGAUCCAAACUGCCACUCAGGAACAUUCUCUGUCUUCUUGGUAAAUAACUCCAGUGUAGAUUUGGCCUUGUGUUUUAGGUUAUUGUCCUGCUGAAAGGUGAUUUCAUCUCCCAGUGUCUGGUGGGAAGCAGACUGGACCAGGUUAUUGUCCUGCUGAAAGGUGAUUUCAUCUCCCAGUGUCUGUUGGAAAGCAGACUGAACCAGGUUCUCCUCUAGGAUUUUGCCUGUGCUUAGCUCAAUUCCAUUGAUUUUUUUUUUAUCCUGAAAAACAAUCUAGUCCUAAAGGAUUUCAAGCAUACCCAUAACAUGAUGCAGCCACCACCAUGCUUCAAAAUACGAAGCGUGUUCCUCAGUGACGUGUUGGAUUUCCCAAACAUAAUGCUUUGUAUUUCAGAACAAAAAUUUCAUUUCAUUCAUUUUUUGCCGUUUUUAACUAAGUGCCUUGGUUUGGAAUAUUUGUGUUCUGUACAGGCGUCCUUCUUGUCCUGGUCAUUGAGAUUGAAUCUGUGUUUGAAAUGCACUGCUCAACUGAGGGAUCUUACAGAUAAUUGUAUGUGUGGGGUACAGAGAUGAGGGACCUUACAGAUAAUUGUAUGUGGGGGUACAGAGAUGAGGGACCUUACAGAUAAUUGUACGUGUGGGGUACAGAGAUGAGGGACCUUACAGAUAAUUAUGUAUGUGUGGGGUACAGAGAUGAGGGACCUUACAGAUAAUUGUACGUGUGGGGUACAGAGAUGAGGAUGUCAUUAAUAAUCAUGUUAAACACCAUUAUUGAACACAGUGAGUCCAUGCAACUUAUUAUGUGACUUGUUGAGCACAUUUUUACUCCAGAACUUAUUUUAGGUUUGUCAAAACAAAAGGGGUUGAAUACUGAUUGACUCAAGACAUUUCAGAUUUUAAUUUUUUAUUCAUUUGUAAACAUUUCUAUAAAAAAAAAAACAUAUUUCCACUUUGACAUUAUGGGGUAUUGUGAUGUCAUUAUGGGGUAUUGUGAUGUCAUUAUGGGGUAUUGUGUGUCGUCCAGUGACGAAAUCUCAAUUGAAUCCAUUUUAAAUUCCGUCUGUAACAGAACAGCAUGUGGAAGAGGUCAAGGGGUGUGAAUAUACACUGAGUAUAAAAGCAUUGCUGAAUCCAGGUAAAAACCUAUGAUGCUUUUUAAUCGAUCCGAAAUCCACUUUAAUCAAGUGUAGAUGAAGAGAAGGAUUCAGAUUAAAGAAGGAUUCUUGAGCCUCGGCGUAUCGGUGCCAUUCAGAAGGUGAACGGACAAGACAAAAUAUUGAAUUGCCUUUGAACCGGGUACUGUGUUAGGCGCACCGGUUUGUGUCAAGAACUUCCAACGCUGCUGGGUUUUUCACGCUCAACCGUUUCCUGUUUGUAUCCAGAAUGGUCCACCAUCCAAAGGAGGUCCAACCAACUUGACACAACUGUGGGAAGCAUUGAGUCAAACAUGGGCCAGCAUCCCUGUGGAACGCUUUCCACACUUUUUGUAGAGUCCAUGUCCUGACGAAUUGAGGCCGUUCUGAGGGCAAGAGGGGGUGCAAUUGAAUGUUAGGAAGGUGUUCCUAAUGUUUUGUCCACUGUGUAUAUAGCAGGUUUGUGAGGUACAGGGACUGAGAAAGUGUUUGUUAAGAGAAUGAAUGAGUGUGUGUUGUAGUACUGAUGUGGUUGAUGAGCAUUCUGUUUACAUCUCAGUAUGAUAAGGAAUAGAUCGAAAACAGUUUAACACCAAACUACCCUCCACAGACACCAAACCACCCUCCACAGACACCAAACUACCCUCCACAGAUACCAAACUACCCUCCACAUUGACACCAAACCACCCUCCGCAUUGACACCAAACUACCCUCCGCAUUGACACCAAACCACCCUCCACAUUGACACCAAACCACCCUCCACAGACACCAAACCACCCUCCGCAUUGACACCAAACUACCCUCCACAUUGACACCAAACUACCCUCCGCAUUGACACCAAACCACCCUCCGCAUUGACACCAAACUACCCUCCACAUUGACACCAAACUACCCUCCACAGAUACCAAACUACCCUCCACAUUGACACCAAACCACCCUCCGCAUUGACACCAAACUACCCUCCGCAUUGACACCAAACCACCCUCCACAUUGACACCAAACCACCCUCCACAGACACCAAACCACCCUCCGCAUUGACACCAAACUACCCUCCACAUUGACACCAAACUACCCUCCGCAUUGACACCAAACCACCCUCCGCAUUGACACCAAACUACCCUCCGCAUUGACACCAAACUACCCUCCGCAUUGACACCAAACUACCCUCCGCAUUGACACCGAACUACCCUCCGCAUUGACACCAAACCACCCUCCGCAUUGACACCAAACCACCCUCCGCAUUGACACAAACCACCCUCCGCAUUGACACCAAACUACCCUCCGCAUUGACACCAAACUACGCUCCACAUUGACACCAAACUACCCUCCACAGACACCAAACCACCCUCCACAGACACCAAACCACCCUCCAUAGACACCAAACCACCCUCCACAUUGACACCAAACUACCCUCCACAGACACCAAACUACCCUCCACAGACACCAAACCACCCUCCACAUUGACACCAAACCACCCUCCGCAUUGACACCAAACCACCCUCCGCAUUGACACCAAACCACCCUCCGCAUUGACACCAAACCACCCUCCGCAUUGACACCAAACCACCCUCCAUAGACACCAAACCACCCUCCACAGACACCAAACCACCCUCCACAGACACCAAACCACCCUCCAUAGACACCAAACCACCCUCCAUAGACACCAAACCACCCUCCACAGACACCAAACCACCCUCCACAUUGA